This 74-nucleotide transfer RNA is filed under the name Neotoma lepida (desert woodrat). It matches the Rfam family "tRNA". From Rfam's summary of the family: Transfer RNA (tRNA) molecules are approximately 80 nucleotides in length. Their secondary structure includes four short double-helical elements and three loops (D, anti-codon, and T loops). Further hydrogen bonds mediate the characteristic L-shaped molecular structure. tRNAs have two regions of fundamental functional importance: the anti-codon, which is responsible for specific mRNA codon recognition, and the 3' end, to which the tRNAs corresponding amino acid is attached (by aminoacyl-tRNA synthetases). tRNAs cope with the degeneracy of the genetic code in two manners: having more than one tRNA (with a specific anti-codon) for a particular amino acid; and 'wobble' base-pairing, i.e. permitting non-standard base-pairing at the 3rd anti-codon position. Lineage: Eukaryota; Metazoa; Chordata; Mammalia; Rodentia; Cricetidae. The record is from Rfam by way of RNAcentral.
GGAGAGGUAGCUCAAUAGGUAAGAGUGCUUGCUGUGCAAGCAUAAGGACCUGAGUUCAAAUCCCAGCCCCUGUG